RNAcentral lists this unclassified non-coding RNA (3210 nucleotides) under Hevea brasiliensis (rubber tree). Lineage: Eukaryota; Viridiplantae; Streptophyta; Magnoliopsida; Malpighiales; Euphorbiaceae. The record is from RNAcentral.
GUCCAAACCACACUAUUUUUUCUUCCAUUUCCGAAAACGCGCAUAGAGAACUUGAGCUCUGAGACUUCGCGUUCCGCUACCCAUUCUCUCUCCGUGUAUGUGCCUGUAAUCAGGUAAUCAGGCAUUAUCUCCCUAAGCAUCUCUCCAUCAAGAAAGCUAAAAAGGCCUCUCUUUCUCUUAACAGAAGAAAGAGAGUUCUUAGUUUAAUGGCAAAAUCAAAGAACAAUGCAAAUAAAGUUUCUUAUAUCUCCGUUCCAUCACAAGUAAUCAACACUUUAUCUUCUUCUUCUCUGCAAACUCUGCUUUUCUCACCAAAGAAACCAUCUAGGAACAGGUUCUUAAGCUGGAAUUCGUAUAAGAACCCGAGAUUUUGGUUCUUUUCUCUCUUUUUCUUUGGUUUUCUUGGUAUGUUUAAGUUAUGGUUCGAUCUUGACCCUUUGGUACCUUUCUAUCCAUACCCAUGUAUCACAAGUCAAACUCAGGGGAACUCAUUCUCAAAUGGUUACUUAAGAUCACAGCUUGCUUUCCCUUCAAAUGGUGAAAAAAAUGGCCAAAAAGAUCAAGAGGCUGUGGCUGUUAUUGGUAUGGGGUCAAAAUCUGAGGUGGGUUCGGCUUCAAAAAUCGAAAAAGGUAGUGGAAGUGCUCCCAAAGACAAGUUUUUGAAGAGUAUUGUUCAAUCUAAGCCCCUACUAUCAAACAGAAAUGCAAAAUCAGGUGGGGAUGGAAAGGGGAAUGAUUUCUGGAAGCAGCCUGAUGGAUUGGGUUAUAAACCAUGUUUGGAGUUCAGUUCGGAGUAUAGAAGAGGGAGUGAGGUGAUAGUGAAAAAUAGAAGAAAGUACUUAUUAGUUGUGGUUUCGGGUGGUAUGAAUCAGCAGAGGAAUCAAAUUGUGGAUGCUGUGGUUAUUGCAAGAAUCCUCGGUGCUGCUUUGGUUGUUCCCAUCUUGCAAGUCAAUGUCAUAUGGGGAGACGAAAGUGAAUUUUCUGAUAUAUUUGAUUUGGAGCAUUUCAAGAGAGUUUUAGCUAAUGAUGUGAGGAUAGUUUCAUCAUUGCCUUCCACACAUAUAAGGACAAGGCCAGUGGAGGAAAGUCGAACUCCUCUACAUGUCUCACCUCAGUGGAUCCGUGCACGCUAUCUCAAGCGACUUAAUCGGGAAGGGGUUUUGCUUUUGCGUGGUUUGGAUUCAAGACUUUCUAAAGAUCUCCCUUCUGAUCUUCAGAAACUUCGCUGCAAGGUAUUGCAGGAUUUCUGUCUGGCUUUUUUCAUUUUUAUUUUCAGUUUAGUUAACUGAGGAUCUUAAUGUAGACUUGCAUGGAAGAGGGGGAAAAAAACUUCCUCAUCCUCUGGCCAUAUGAAAAGAUUUUUUUAGCUGAAAAUGGUGAAAAGUGUGUUGGGAAAGUCCUGAACUUUAUUUUUCAUCAAGUAUUGUUCUUCAGAAAUUAAGGUUCUUACUAUGGAAGCCUCUGAUCUCUUAUUUGUUUGUCUUCAGGUGGCAUUUAAUGCGUUGAGAUUUGCCCCAUCAAUUUUGGAGCUUGGUAACAGGCUUGCAGAGAGGAUGCGGAGCAAAGGACCCUACCUUGCUCUUCAUCUACGGAUGGAAAAGGAUGUAUGGGUGAGAACAGGGUGCCUUCCUGGUUUGAGUCCAGAAUAUGAUGAGAUUAUAAACAAUGAGAGAAAACGACGGCCUGAACUCCUUACUGGAAGAUCGAAUAUGACUUACCAUGAUAGAAUACUAGCUGGUCUCUGCCCCUUGAAUGCCAUGGAGGUGACAAGGUUAGACUUUGAAGCUGAUGCUGCAUGUACUACUUGAUUGCACAAUUAUCUGCCCAUUUUCCAUAUAAUGGAUUUCUAAUAGAUUUCAUUUUUUCAUACGCGAUGUUAAUAUUUCAGGCUACUUAGAGCUCUUGGAGCUCCAAAAGAUGCAAGAAUAUAUUGGGCUGGAGGGCAGCCGCUUGGUGGUAAAGAAGCUUUGAUGCCAUUAACCAGAGAAUUUGCCCAUUUUUACAAUAAGGAAGACAUUGCUUUGCCUGGUGAAUUAGAACCCUUUGCAAAGAGGGCUUCCCUGAUGGCUGCCAUUGAUUAUAUAGUCUCAGAAAAGAGUGAUGUUUUCAUGCCAUCUCAUGGUGGAAAUAUGGGUCAUGCAAUCCAGGUACAGCCCACCAUCACCUUAUUUGUUACCAAUUAGUAUGUUGUUACUUCCAAUCAUAGUUACAGUCUAUUUGGCAUUGUGUUUCAGCUGCUGUUGAGAAAAGAACUACUUUAAAAAUGUUUAUUAGAGGAAUUUAAAAUUCGAUUUUAAUUUAAAUUUGACAUCUUUUAAUCAUAAUAACUUCAAAACUACUAUUUCAAAUAGCUUUUCCCAACAUCUAAAAGGGCAUUUUUCUAAAAAGCAGUUUCAACCUUAAUGUCAAACAGGCUCUUGUUGAAAUAAAUUUGCCGGUGUAUAUGCACAAAAAAUAUACUUUUGCCUAAACAGAAGUUUGCUCUUGACACAGGGACAUCGGGCAUAUGCUGGGCACAAGAAAUAUAUCACCCCUAACAAAAGACACAUGCUUCCUUAUUUUCUCAAUUCCUCUCUACCUGAAUCAGAGUUCAAUAGAAUCAUAAAGGACUUGCACCGUGACUCCUUGGGGCAACCAGAACUGAGGGAUAGCAAAGCUGGAAGAGAUGUCACAAAGUAUCCAGUUCCCGAAUGCAUGUGUAAGAAUUCACAUACUCAUUCCUCCUCAUGAUUGAAUGCCAAAAAUUGCCAGCACCAAGAUUAGAAUGCAACAGAUUGCUUCAUCUUAAAAUCAGCAUUUCAUCGAUGAAUCCCUUGAAUCUAAGCUGUUUUGAAAGUGUGAUACUGACAAUGUUCCUGUCAAUGCUGGUUUUAAGGAGCACCAUUUUUGAAGCGCAUGCGUGGCAGGUGUGCUUUUCUUGCAAGUAAACUCAUUAUUUAUCCAUAACCGCCCUACUUAUAUGUAUGUACUGUACAUGAGAGGAAAUAUAGGUAUAUUUAGAGAAGAAUGAUGUAUCAUACUUAGUCAUUUUUUAAAUUCUUUACAGUUGAUAGCCCAAUUUUCUCCUCUUUAGGAUCAUUUUUUUUUACCUAGUUCAUUCUUUGUACUAAAUCUAUGUACCACGGGUUCGUAAGGUUCAUACUUGUUUAUGUAUAAUAAAUAAUUUCCAUUUAUAUUUAAUCAGAUGGGAAGUUCAUUUUAUGUUAAAAA